CACAAGGAAAAUUAGUAACGGGCAACCAAUCGAUCUAAGAACAUUGUGGAUGAACUUCACAGAACAGGUUAAUUACAUGCCCAGAAUAAGUCAAGAACAUCAUUAACUAAAAACUCCAACUUCGAAAAAAUUCAAGUACGUUUUAUAUCCAACAGCACAUCCUUCUUAUUCAUUGCCUAAACAGAAGUUCUUCAGAAGAAAGAAGUGACCCACAUUGUGACUAAAAAAAAAAAAAUUAGGUCCUAAAGUUUUUCUAUUCAGAGUUAUUUAAGCUUUUGGGGCAGAAAGUAGCCCUAUGCAGAAAAUAUUUUAAUGGACAUAAAUCAAGUGACAAAUUUAUAACCCCUAGGAGUUGGCUGAAGUGGUAAAGGCCUUCAUCUUGGAGGUAUGCUCCCUCCAAGUCUAAGGUUUGAAUCCUCUUAGGUGCAAACAAUUUCAAGGAGUCAUCAGAUUAGAGGAACUUUCUUUUAAAUUACCCGAUGUGCACUUGUGAAAAACUCUUUGCCGAGGGCCUAUGCACCCUCGAGAUUAGUUCGGACUUUGUUCUCAGACGCCCGGUGCCAAUAAAAAAAAAAAUUUGAACUUGAGAUUCUCU
Molecule: long non-coding RNA, 595 nt
Organism: Juglans microcarpa x Juglans regia
Lineage: Eukaryota; Viridiplantae; Streptophyta; Magnoliopsida; Fagales; Juglandaceae
Exons: 3
Source: RefSeq, a predicted model, not a curated record